GGCGUACUGGAUUGACAAAAGGUGAAUAUUCCUGUACUACCCUUGUUAGUCUCGAGGGAAUGGAGAGGCUAGGUUACCUGAAAGAUGGUUAUCGGUUCAAGAACGCGAGAUGUCCCUACUUUUUCAGGAUAUGAAGGGUUAGAGAAAAUUCCUCGAGCAAAUGUUUGAAUACAAUGUGCAACAGAGCUGAAAUAACCCAUGCCAUACUCCAAGGAAAAGUUCAAACUAUGAUAAGCAAGAGGGAUCCUAUACCCGAAACUAACACAGGUUGGUAGGUAGAGAAUACCUAGGGGCGCUAGACAACUCUCUCAAAGGAACUCAGCAAAAUAGCCCCGUAACUUCGGGAGAAGGGGUGCCUCCUCACAAAGGGAGUCGAAGUGACCAGGCCCGGGCGACUGUUUACAAAAAAACACAAGUCACUGCAAAGUCGUAAUACCAUGUACGGGGGCUAACGCCUACCCAGUGCCAAAAGGUCAAGGAAGUUGGUAAGCUGAUGACAGGGGUGCGAACGACUGAAGCCCCGGUGAACGGCAGCCAUAAUAUAAUUGUCCUAAGGUAGCAAAAUUCCUUGUCAGGUAAGUUCUGACCUGCACGAAAGGCGUAACAAUCUGGGCAGUGUCUCAGAGAGAGGCUCGGUGAAAUAGACAUUUCUAUGUAGAUGCGGAGUACCUGCACCUGGACAUAAAGACCCUAUGAAGCAUCACUAUUCCUUGGGAUUGACUUUGAGCCUUUCCUGCAUCGGUUAUGUGGAAGGCGAAGAAGGCCUCCUUCCGGGGGGUCCGAGCAAUUAGUGAGAUACAAUUCUUGAAGGUUUAGAAUUCUAACCUUAUGUCAGGAGCUACGAGUCAAGGGACAGUCUCAGGUAGACGGUUUCAAUGGGGAGUUGGCCUUCAAAAAGGUAACGGAGGCGUGCAAAGGUUUCCUCGGGUCAUACAUUGAUUGGCCCUCGAGUGAAAAGACAGAAGGGAGCUUCACAGCAGUACUUACUUGUCGAUAAUGGAUGAUAGUCGGCCUUCGUGAUCCGACGGUGCCGAGUGGAAGGGUCGUUGCUCAAUAGAUAAAAUUUACUCUAGAUAUAACAGUCUGAUCUUCACAAGAUCUCACUUCGAUGGGAAGGUUUAGCACCUCGAUAAUAGAUCUUCGCCACCUAGGGCUAUACUAUGUUCCAAGGGUUGGGCUAUUCGCCCAUUAAAGCGGUACGUGAGCUAGGUUCAGAACGUCGUGAGACAGUUCGGUCCAUAUCCAUUGUUGGCGUUAUAGCAUUGAGAGGACCUUUCCCUAGUACGAGAGGACCGGGAAGUAUGCACCUUUUAUGUACCACUAAUCGUAACCACGGUAAAUAAUGGGUAGCAAAGUGCGGAAAGGAUAACUGUUUAAAGCAUCUAAGUAGGCCCACCCCAAGAUGAUUGCUUUCCAAACUUGACUUCCGCAGAGCUUUCGGUAGCACAGACGAGACAACGACGGGUUCUCUGCCCUUGCGGGGAUGGAGCGACAAAUGUUUUUUUGAGAAUUCUAGAGAAGGUCAAGGCAAGACGAGCCGUUUAUCAUUACAAUAGGUGUCAAGUGGAAGUGCAGUGAUGUAUACAACUGAGGCAUCUUAACAGACCAGUAGACUUGAACCU
Molecule: ribosomal RNA, 1622 nt
Filed under: Solanum lycopersicum (tomato)
Lineage: Eukaryota; Viridiplantae; Streptophyta; Magnoliopsida; Solanales; Solanaceae
Description: bacterial LSU rRNA
Rfam family: Bacterial large subunit ribosomal RNA
Source: RNAcentral